AAAGUCGUAACAAGGUUUCCGUAGGUGAACCUGCGGAAGGAUCAUUACUGAAUGACGUGUGUGCCUGGUUGUGGUAGACCAUUUCUCACCAUGGUAGGAUGGUCAGACGUUGGACCAGCCGGUGAUUUGGCUACCAUGUCAUGCAAACCAGUCUUUGAAUGUAUGGCAUUAAAGCGUAAAAUAUAAAUAUAACUUUCAACAACGGAUCUCUUGGCUCUC
This 219-nucleotide unclassified non-coding RNA is filed under the name Basidiomycota sp. Its description in RNAcentral is "partial contains small subunit ribosomal RNA, internal transcribed spacer 1, and 5.8S ribosomal RNA". The stretch from base 1 to 47 matches the Rfam family "Eukaryotic small subunit ribosomal RNA", at positions 1785 to 1831 of the family's 1831-position model. The record is from RNAcentral. Lineage: Eukaryota; Fungi; Basidiomycota.